Non-coding RNA from Bombyx mori (domestic silkworm), 117 nucleotides. The record is from RefSeq and is marked provisional. NCBI's taxonomy places the organism in Eukaryota, Metazoa, Arthropoda, Insecta, Lepidoptera, Bombycidae.
UGCUGGUGGCGGGUGAAAAAUGAGAUCUAAUUAUAAAGAGUAUUGUUUUGCGGCCAAGAAAUAGGUACAUCGGUGCUACUUACAGAUAGAUCGUUUUCAAAUUUGGGGUCAAAAGCG